UGCCCAGUGACAACCGUUAAACGGCCGCGGUAUCCUGACCGUGCAAAGGUAGCAUAAUCACUUGUUCUCUAAAUAGGGACUUGUAUGAAUGGCCACACGAGGGUUUUACUGUCUCUUGCUUCCAA
RNAcentral lists this ribosomal RNA (125 nucleotides) under Axis axis (chital). RNAcentral's name for it is "partial large subunit ribosomal RNA". It matches the Rfam family "Archaeal large subunit ribosomal RNA", at positions 1952 to 2104 of the family's 2987-position model. The record is from RNAcentral. Lineage: Eukaryota; Metazoa; Chordata; Mammalia; Artiodactyla; Cervidae.